GGGCAGACGCUUGCCCCGGGCGAGGUUCUGCGCAGGUAAGAGGCCGGUGGGCUUCCCAGCACACACUGUGUGCCUGGGAAGUUCUGCUGGCUCACCUGCGUUCCUCCACAGCGUGCCAGACGACUACCGCUGUGGGAAGGCGCUGGGCCCCGUGGAGUCGCUCCAGGGACACCUGCGGGACCCCACGAAGAUUCUCAUUGGCUACAGCCGGGGCCUGCUGGUCAUCUGGAACCAGGCCUCGCAGUGUGUGGACCACAUCUUCCUGGGGAACCAGCAGCUGGAGAGCCUAUGCUGGGGGCGUGAUAGCAGCACUGUGGUCAGCUCACACAGCGAUGGCAGCUAUGCUGUCUGGUCUGUGGAUGCCGGCAGCUCCCCAACGCUGCAGCCCACGGUAGCCACCACACCUUACGGCCCCUUUCCCUGCAAGGCCAUUAACAAGAUUCUGUGGCGGAACUGUGAAUCUGGGGGCCACUUUAUCAUCUUCAGCGGUGGCAUGCCCCGUGCCAGCUAUGGUGACCGCCACUGUGUAAGUGUGCUUCGAGCCGAGACAUUGGUGACGCUGGACUUCACCUCCCGCAUCAUCGACUUCUUCACAGUGCACAGCACACGGCCCGAGGAUGAAUUUGAUGACCCCCAGGCCCUGGCUGUGCUGCUGGAAGAGGAGCUGGUGGUGCUGGACCUGCAGACUCCCGGCUGGCCAGCUGUGCCUGCCCCAUACCUGGCCCCGCUGCAUUCGUCUGCAAUCACUUGCUCGGCCCACGUGGCCAAUGUCCCUGCCAAGCUGUGGGCCCGCAUUGUGAGCGCUGGCGAGCAGCAGAGCCCCCAGCCUGUCUCCAGUGCCUUGAGCUGGCCCAUCACUGGGGGCCGAAACCUGGCCCAGGAGCCGUCACAGCGAGGGCUGCUGCUGACAGGGUAGGUGUGCGUGCUUAUGUGGGUGAGUGGGCCCCUUGCUGUUGGGGGAGAGCCCAUCCUGGGCCUGGUGGGUGCAGAGGUGCCAGGAGACUCAGGCCUGGCCCCUGGUGGGACCAGGUAGUUCCUCCUUGCCCAAGGUGGAUUGGAAUGAAACCUCCCUGGACCUUGGUUCAAGGUGCUGUCCUGAUCUGCCUUUUGGCCUGGAACUGAGCUCUACCAAACCCCAGGGCUCCACCCGCCCAGCCUGCCUGCCCUGGGACUGGAAAAUCUGGGCUGGCCCACGCUGAGCUGCCCAGGGAAGGUGCCAGAGAGCCCAGCCUGGGCCUGGCGGGCACUGACGUGCCCGGUGACUCAGGUCUCAACUUCCUGCCCUGCCCCCACUCCCGCCUGUGCUGGGACCCUCAGGCCUCUGACUCUGGUGUGCCCUUCCCUGCUGAAGAGCUUGCUGUGGCUUUCAGGGCUGCUGGAGUGAGUCUUAAUCACCCCCACAGUCACACACCUCUCACGCCCUGGCUCUGGGCUUUCACCACCACCCGGGGCCCUGCUUGGGCUCUGCAGCUGUGUCCCAAGGCUGCGCCCUAGAUUUGUCUACUCCUUCCCCUGCCCCCUCCCUGCUUCCUCCCGGCCUCUGCAGUCUUCCUGCUCCACCUACGUGGCUGCCUUGGGCCCCAUGCAGCUCCUCCCCUGCGAUGCCCUAUGCUCUGUUCUGUGACUGUCUUGCUCUUGAUCACCUUUGAUGGCUGCUCCAGUGUAGGCAGAACCCCCAAAGUCCUCUAUUCUCUACAUGUCCCCCUUUGCCACCUCCUGUUAAUCAGCGUGGUCAUUUCCACCUUGUUUGGUUUAAAGGGCCUAGGUGCAUGUGGUGCAUGUGGCCUGGCCUAUAACAGGUGCGCAGUGUGCCUGUGCUGUAUACAGUAGGUGCCUAUUGUUUUUUGUAACAGUAGGAUUCCGGUCAGUGUUUGGCACGUGCAGUAGGUGCUUAGUGAGUGGUCAUCAGAUGAGUGAAUGGAGGGAUGUGCAGGCCUCCCAGGAACUCAGGGGUAGCCCUGACAUCUGCCCUCCCUGCAGCCAUGAGGACGGCACUGUGAGGUUCUGGGAUGCCUCGGGUGUGGCGCUGCGGCCGCUGUAUAAGCUGAGCACAGCUGGCCUCUUCCAGACGGACUGUGAGCACGCUGACAGCCUGGCCCAGGCUGCCGAGGACGACUGGCCACCCUUCCGCAAGGUGGGCCCCUCCCCUGGCCCUGAUGAGCUGGUCCUGACCCCACCUGGACUCAUUACUCCUUCCCAUCCCUCUAGGUGGGCUGCUUCGAUCCCUACAGUGACGAUCCCCGGCUUGGCGUGCAGAAGGUUGCUCUCUGCAAGUAUACAGCCCAGAUGGUGGUGGCUGGCACUGCGGGCCAGGUAGGGCUGGGUGUCCUCUGGGUUGGAGAUGUCAGGGAGGGCUUUCUGGAAGAGAUGAGCUGGAGGGUCUGGUGGAAAGGGAGGUGGACUGGCACAGGCAAAAGCCAAGGUGGGAAUAGGGCUCUGGGUGGGGCUGGCUGGGGUGAGGACAGAUGGGAAGUGGGCCUGUCGCUGGGGGAACCACAGUGUUGAGAGGCGGGAACUCAUGUCAGUGCUGUGCUCCGGCACUCACACGACAUACAGGAGGUGCUCAAUGUGUCCUUAUUGCUAAAUGGGAGAUACAAGCUCAGGGUAAGGGUGGACACUUUGCCCUCAGAGGGCAGGGACUAGUGUGUCUUGGUCACCACUGUGUUCCUUGUGCUCAGCUAGGGCCUUGGUAUACAGUAGGCAUUCAGUGAGUGCUUGUUUAAAACGCUGAUGAACUGAAGACAGUCCUAGAACCACCUUGGUGGUGGCUGGGGCUGCUUCAGAGGCUCCAGGCUGAGUGGGGCCCAGGGCGGCCCCUCCCCUGCGCUGAUGCUCCCCCUGCCUGGCUGUGGGCUCAGGUGCUGGUACUGGAGCUUAGUGAUGUUCCGGUGGAGCAGGCGGUCAGCGUGGCCAUCAUAGACCUCCUCCAGGACCGCGAGGGCUUCACGUGGAAGGGCCACGAGCGGCUGAGCCCACGCACAGGGCCGCUGCCCUGGCCUGCUGGCUUCCAGCCCCGUGUCCUGGUGCAGUGCCUGCCGCCAGCUGCUGUAACUGCUGUCACACUCCAUACCGAGUGGAGCCUCGUGGCUUUUGGCACCAGUCAUGGCUUUGGCCUCUUCGACUACCAGCGCAAGAGCCCUGUGCUGGCCAGGUGCACUCUUCACCCCAAUGACUCCCUGGCCAUGGAGGGUCCGCUCUCCCGGGUGAAGUCCCUCAAGAAGUCGCUGCGCCAGUCUUUCCGGCGCAUUCGCAAGAGUCGUGUCUCGGGCAAGAAGCGGGCUGCUAAUGCCAGCAGCAAGUUGCAGGAAGCCAAUGCACAGCUGGCCGAGCAGGCCUGCCCCCAUGAUGUGGAGAUGACGCCGGUGCAGCGCCGCAUUGAGCCCCGCUCUGCCGAUGACUCCUUGUCAGGCGUCGUGCGUUGCCUAUACUUUGCCGACACAUUCCUUCGAGAUGGGGCCCACCACGGGCCCACCAUGUGGGCUGGCACCAACUCAGGCUCCGUGUUCGCCUAUGCACUGGAGGUGCCGACAGCAGCAGUGGGUGGUGAGAAGCGGCCUGAGCAAGCGGUGGAGGCUGUGCUGGGCAAGGAGGUGCAGCUGAUGCACCGGGCGCCUGUGGUGGCCAUUGCCGUGUUGGACGGGCGUGGCCGCCCGCUGCCUGAGCCCUAUGAGGCCUCACGGGACCUGGCGCAGGCACCUGACAUGCAGGGUGGUCACGCUGUGCUCAUCGCAUCUGAGGAGCAGUUCAAGGUGAGCCACUGUGGGCUGUGGGGGACUCUGGGGGACUCGCCUCCAGGCCCCAACCUCAUGGACACCAUUGGACCCUCUAGAAACCCUUCCUGCCUGUAUCUCCCACUGUUGGGACCCUAAUUCUCUUGCACCCCAGAAAACACUCCCAGCCAGCAGAGAACUCCUACCCAAGAACCCUGAUGCCCCCGCAGCCUGCUGAGUUCCCCUGGGAGGGCAGGAAUCUAGUCCUAUCUCACUGUGCCACACAAGGCUCCUGUACCGGGCCUAGACCCCUGAGCCCAGUCCCCAGGGGCUCUGCCUCGAAAGAACUCGAGGUUUGAUGGGGAUACCAGCUGCAUAACCUUGGCACUCUGUGAUUGAUUUUGUCACAGAUCGAGAGAGGGCCUGGGAGGUUUCUGGAGUACAGUGUGAAGUCUGGAGUUCAGUGGGGCAGCCAGGUGUACAGGCAGGGGAGGCCACGUAGCAUGCAGCUGGGCUUUGUGGUGGGGGCUGGUGGGUCAGCAGCCAUGAGGGUGAGGGGCCCUGGGGAUGAGGACAGGGCCAGGCUUUGUGCUCACCGGCCACCUGCUGUCAGGUGUUCACACUGCCCAAGGUGAGCGCGAAGACCAAGUUCAAGCUGACGGCCCAUGAGGGCUGUCGUGUGCGCAAGGUGGCACUGGCCACGUUUGCCAGUGUGGCCUGCGAGGACUAUGCUGAGACCUGCCUGGCCUGCCUCACCAACCUGGGUGAUGUCCACGUCUUCUCGGUGCCUGGCCUGCGGCCCCAGGUGCACUAUUCCUGCAUCCGGAAAGAGGACAUCAGCGGCAUCGCUUCAUGCGUCUUUACGCGCCAUGGCCAGGGUGAGGCGGGGCAGAGGCCGAGGAGGCCUUCCUCAGGCGAGCGAACUGAGUGGGACCAGUACUGCUUGGGAGCAGGAAGGGCGCUCCGGGUGGGCACAGGCCCAGGUCACGGAGGAGCUGUGGUUGGUGCUAUCUCUUAACUGCACUCCUUAUUCUUCUGCCUACCCAGGCUUUUAUCUGAUAUCCCCGUCAGAAUUUGAACGCUUCUCCCUAAGUGCCCGGAACAUCACAGAGCCGCUCUGCUCUCUGGACAUUAACUGGCCCCGCGAUGCCACCCAGGCCAGUUACAGGAUCCGAGAGUCACCCAAGCUGAGCCAGGCUAAUGGGACCCCAAGCAUCCUGCUGGCCCCACAGAGCCUUGAUGGAAGCCCUGAUCCAGCCCACAGCAAGGGACCUGACACCCCAGAGCCACCCGAGGCUGCACUCUCACCCAUGUCCAUCGACUCAGCCACCAGUGCUGACACCACGCUGGACACGACAGGGGACGUCACAGUGGAAGAUGUGAAGGAUUUCCUGGGCUCCUCUGAGGAGUCGGAGAAGAACCUGAGGAACCUGGCAGAAGACGAGGCCCACGCCUGUGCCAUCCUGAUCAAAUGAGGAAGGCCAGAACUAUCCCGACCUCCACCUGCCCUGCUUGGAGCUGGAGUGCUGGAUCCCUGGCACCUGCCUGGCCCCUUAACAUAGAACCACGCCUGCUAACCUGUAGGCUCCACUGGGACCUGCUGUCCUGUCCCGCCUGACCCUGGGCCCUGGAGCAGCACCAGCCCCAGGGUGUGGGCCUGGGACCUGGGCCAGAACUGAGCCCUCCUGCAGGCAUUUGGCUGCCCUGGGGGCCCGCUGCCUAAGGAAGAGGACAGGUGGGGCCCAGCACCUGUGCCACCUCCCCCUCCACACACCAUCCUUCCCCCUCACUUUGCAGAGUAUUUUUCCUUUUUUUGAGACGGAGUCUUGCUCUGUCGCCCAGGCUGGAGUGUAGUGGCCCCAUCUCUGCUCACUGCAAGCCCCACCUCCCGGGUUCACGCCAUUCUCCUGCCUCAGCCUCCCGAGUAGCUGGGACUAUAGGCGCCCGCCACCACGCCCAGCUAUUUUUUUCUGUAUUUUUAGUAGAGAUGGGGUUUCACCGUGUUAGCCAGGAUGGUCUCGAUCUCCUGAUCUCGUGAUCCGCCCACCUCGGCCUCCCAAAGUGCUGGGAUUACAGGCGUGAGCCACCACGCCCAGCCCUGCAAAGAGUAUUUUUCUAGUGCCUGGGCUGGACAGUUGUUUCUAAAACUAUUUUGGUACCUGCUUCUGGGCCAGUCCCCAGCCUGUCAUGAGUGAGUGUGUGUGUGUGUGUGUGUGUGUGUGGGCAUGGAUGUGACUGGGAGCUCUGCUGGGCACCCACAACUGGGGCCUAGUCAGGCGUGUGUGUCGGGGGGGGGGGGGUGGGGGGGGUCAAGAUGAGUUUCCCUGUAGAUUGUACCUUGGGGUUUUUUUCUGUCGUUUUGUUAAAAUUAGCGCCAUUUUAAUAUUAAAAAUACUGAUUUUUAAUAUUGAAAAUAAAAGCAUUUAAUAUCUCUUAAA
This 6148-nucleotide small RNA is filed under the name Pongo abelii (Sumatran orangutan). RNAcentral's name for it is "retained intron". The record is from RNAcentral. Lineage: Eukaryota; Metazoa; Chordata; Mammalia; Primates; Hominidae.